Molecule: ribosomal RNA, 242 nt
Filed under: uncultured Vibrio sp.
Lineage: Bacteria; Pseudomonadati; Pseudomonadota; Gammaproteobacteria; Vibrionales; Vibrionaceae
Description: partial 16S ribosomal RNA
Rfam family: Bacterial small subunit ribosomal RNA
Source: RNAcentral
GUAAGAGCAAAGCAGGGGACCUUCGGGCCUUGCGCUACCGGAUAUGCCCAGGUGGGAUUAGCUAGUUGGUGAGGUAAGGGCUCACCAAGGCGACGAUCCCUAGCUGGUCUGAGAGGAUGAUCAGCCACACUGGAACUGAGACACGGUCCAGACUCCUACGGGAGGCAGCAGUGGGGAAUAUUGCACAAUGGGCGCAAGCCUGAUGCAGCCAUGCCGCGUGUAUGAAGAAGGGCCUUCGGGUU